GUGUCAGCAGCCGCGGUAAUACGGAGGGGGCUAGCGUUGUUCGGAAUUACUGGGCGUAAAGGGCGCGUAGGCGGCGAUUCAAGUCAGGCGUGAAAGGCCUGGGCUCAACCCGGGAACUGCGUUUGAUACUGGAUUGCUGGAGUCCGGGAGAGGAUGGCGGAAUUCCCAGUGUAGAGGUGAAAUUCGUAGAUAUUGGGAAGAACACCGGUGGCGAAGGCGGCCAUCUGGACCGGAACUGACGCUGAGGCGCGAAAGCGUGGGGAGCAAACAGGAUUAGAAACCCCCGUAGUCC
This 292-nucleotide ribosomal RNA is filed under the name uncultured bacterium. Its description in RNAcentral is "partial 16S ribosomal RNA". It matches the Rfam family "Bacterial small subunit ribosomal RNA", at positions 505 to 796 of the family's 1533-position model. The record is from RNAcentral.